Molecule: long non-coding RNA, 573 nt
Filed under: Cricetulus griseus (Chinese hamster)
Lineage: Eukaryota; Metazoa; Chordata; Mammalia; Rodentia; Cricetidae
Description: lncRNA (ENSCGRG00000024624.1)
Source: RNAcentral
CCAGGCAGGAAGUAACAUAGCAGGCCAACUCAGAAUAUAAGCAGGAAAUCGCUCUCUUCCUCUUCUAACUGCUCUCUUCUGUACGGAGCUGCCAUGUGAUCCCAGAAAGAGAAUACCAGCAGAAGGCAUCCACAAUAAGAUAAGUCUUAUAAAAUAUACAGAUUUAUGAUAAUUAAGUAUGAGAUAAAGUAUAAGAAAUCCUAGUCAAUUGGCCAGCAGAAUUUGAAACUAAUAUAAAUCUCUGUCUGUUAUUUGGGGCCCUAACACAGCAGAUGGCACUCGGGGGGCUGGAGGAAAGACUUAUCAUUACAGAGAUGGAUGCUUUCUACUAUUUUAUAAGAAGACAGCAGAGAACCAAUCAAGAUGGAGAAGAGACAUGGAUGACAAACAGGUUUUUUCCACAUUUUGCUGAAACCACCAUCUGCAUACUCUCAACUGCAGAUUUACCAGAUUGAUAAGAAGGGAUUGAUAACUACCUUAAAUGUCAUCAGAGAGCCUUAAUCCAGUAGCUGAUGGAAGCCAGAAGCAGAGAUUCACAGGUAAAUACUGGGCCAAAUUCCUGGAGUCCAGGUG